CCUCCACACCACGCUUUCAUCCACCGCCUACUUCCCCCCCCUCCCAAGCACACCCCUUUCCUCACCGGCACAUUCAGCCAUGGCCAAGGGCAAGCGUUCCGCUGAUGCCAAGAGCAGCCAGAAGCGACAGAAGAAGGUGCUGCGCGACAACAUCCGCGGCAUCACUCGCGGCUGCGUCCGCCGCAUGGCGCGCCGCGGUGGCGUGAAGCGCAUCUCGAGCGAGGUCUACGAAGAGGUGCGCCGCGUGCUGAAGGCUUACGUGGAGGACAUUGUGCGCUGCAGCACGGCCUACACCGAGUACGCGCGCAAGAAGACCGUGACGGCGUGCGAUGUUGUGAACGCGCUGCGCAAGCAAGGCCACAUCCUCUACGGCUAUGCGUAAGCAAUCGUGCCCUGGUCCCUUGCUGCCUGUCUUUCUAGCCUACACGGCUGUGUGAGCGACGGGCGGCAGGGACUCGUGUGCAUUCAUAGAUACACUUCUUUCUUCUGUCCCAAUGCCCUCUUGUUUUACUUUGGCGUUGGCCCCUUUUUUGAAUUGAUUUCCAGACUACUCCUGGCCGACCCCUGCGGGGGGAGAGAGAC
RNAcentral lists this unclassified non-coding RNA (582 nucleotides) under Leishmania donovani. Its description in RNAcentral is "gene:LdHU3.15.0010(CDS-product:histone_H4)". Lineage: Eukaryota; Euglenozoa; Kinetoplastea; Trypanosomatida; Trypanosomatidae. The record is from RNAcentral.